UUUAGUUUUUAUAUGUUAAAAAUGCAUGAUAACAAUGCAAAGGAAUUGUUUGCUACAUAUUCAAAACCGUGAAUUUUCCUGCAUGUUUAGCCAGCUAUCACGUUAGCUUAAAUAUUGUUGUUAGUAAGCUGAAUCCAUUUAGAAAGAUGUAAAUAACCAGUCGUCGUUCACGUGCAGGUUAACAGGUUUUUAAUAAUCAAGCAGAGAAUUCAGACACACGUUCGUAUCUUCAUAAAAAGGAGCAGUACACACAACCUUAUUUGAGCUAAAGUAGUUAAGAAGUUAAAGAGCACCCUGCUGAAAAAUCCAGCAUCAAACCAGCAUGGGAAUUAUGAUGGUCUUUGCUGGUGGUCACCAGCAUAACAGCACCAAAACACAACAUAUGCUGUGGCCUGCUGGUAUGACCAGCAUGGGAUGCUAGUGCUAAUGCUGGUUUGGUGAUGGUCCUGGUUUGAGGCUGUUUAGCUGGUGUUCACUAGCAAACCAGCACCAAAACACAACAUAUGCUGGUCUUGCUGGUAUGCUGUUUUUUUCAGAAGGGCACAUUUUUCAGAUUCACGAAUUUACACACCCUUUGAUGUGUAAGUGUUAAAGACAUGUGAACGAUGUGCAAAUGUACAAAACCCUACACUGUAAAAAAUUUGCUGUAAUUAUGCAGCUGGUUGCCAGUAACUUACUGUAGAAGUUAAAGACUGAAAAUGUUUCAUGUUAAUUUAACUUUGAACAAACUGUUGCCAGUAAAUAACAUAAAUGUAAAAUCUACAGUAAGUUACUGGCAGCUAGUUGGCAGUAACACCCAGUAAUACUGUAAUUUCUACAGAAAUUUUUUACAGUGUAAGUAAACAAUGACGCCAGUUAUCUUCUUCAACUUAAAUCUCUUUUCUUGGACUACAACAAACACACAACAGUUUACUUCUAUGGAUUGCACACAACUUUUCUUAAAUUAGCACACAAAAAAUAGCAUGCAUCACCUCUUUGAUAUAAGCAAUCAACUACUGUAUGACCUGUGUCCUGUAUGAAACUAUGACCAACUAUUAAGACUAUAAAUCUGUUUCAGGUUAACUGGUUGGGGCUUAUUGGCGGGACAGAUGUACGAGACUGCACAUGGCAUAUAUUAAAGAGGGCGACCGACAGCUCCCUGGCUUAAAACCUCAACUGGAUGGAAAAGACUUUAUUUGCCACCCUCUAACUCAGAGAGGUAGUGAUUGAUGCAGUUCGGAGAAGGUCCCUUACAGUUGUGGAGGGGACAAUGAAGAGGUGGCUUGAUCGAGAGGGUGGGUGCAAGAGACAACUUUAGCAAAAGAAAAGCAGUUAGUGUUAGCGCCUGUGUUUGUUUCUGCAAAGGAGAAUGUUUUGUGCUGUAAAAAGAGUGGUGGUGUUUUGGUUAAAUGUGUUUAACUUGUUUUAAUUACUUGGCUUGUGUGUGAGAGGUGUGUGUGCGUGUGGGUUGGUAUAUGUGGUUUAUGGGGAAUAGUGUAUAAUGACAUGUUUAAUAUGCUAUAAACAUGCUUUACAGGGACACAAUACUAAGUGGUACUUUUUCAGAUUAAAGACUUCCAACAGAUUUUUGUUAUGGUUGGGCUUAGGGACUGGGGUAAGUUAAGGCAAUAGAAUAUACAGUUUGUACAGUAUAAAAUGCAUUGUGUCUAUGGAAUUGUCCCGGUAAACCACAUAUGCCAACGUGUGUGUGUGUGUGGUGUGUGUGUGAGAGAGAAUUUUUUUCUUUAAAUGUUAAUUAAUUUGUUUUACAUGUUGUCUCGCUGUAAUUGCUUAAGGGGAUAAUUCACCCCAAAAUUGCAAUUUUAUCAUAAAUCACUUCCCCUCUGUCGUUCUAAACCAACAAGUGCUUAGAUUGUCUUUAGAACACGUUUUUAGAUAUUUUUGAUGAUAACUGGGAGGCUUCUGUCCGUCCCAUUGAUUUCAGUAAGUUUUACAAUCCAUUUAACACAAAAGAAUGAAAGACAUUGCCAAAAAGUUCAGUGUUCCAUCAGUAUUUCAAUGAAAAUUUUUUUCAACAGUUUGUUCUUCUCCUUGGUCGUUCAAAGCCUGUUAACGACCAGACUACGGCGCAUCCUGCUGAUGUCACCUGCUGCUGACGUCACCUGCUGACGUAGUUCCCAGCGUACAGACAGAAUAGGCUUCCAAGUAAUUUGUACAUUUAUUUGGGCUGUUUAAGUAUUGUUACAAUGUUUGCAUUAUGCUUUAAAAAAAAGCGUAGAAAAACAAAAAAAAACAUUGGUAACCACAUCAGCAAGUGACGUGAGCUGCAGGUGAUGUCAGCAGCAUCGCUGUAGUCUGGUCUUGAAUACACUUUCAACAACUAAGGAGGAGAACAAAUUGUUGAAAUCGUUCGUUUUAUUUUCUUUGUGCACAAAGUGUUCUUGUCACUUCAUAAUAUUAUUAUUAAACUACUAAUGGAAAAUGGACCUUUUUGGCGAUGUCUUUCAUUCUUUUCUGGGAAACGGAUUGUGAGACUAACUUAAGUCAAUGGGACAGACAAAAGCCUCCCGGUUUUCAUAAAAAAAUUCUAAAAAUGUAUUCUGAAGACAAUCAGAGCACUUGGUGGUUUAGAACGACACAGGGGUAAGUGAUUUAUGAGAAAAUUAUCAUUUUAAGGGUAAACUAUCCCUUUAAAAAUGUUUAUAAAGUGGGUUAUGUGCUUGUAAAAUGUGUUGUGUAAGAGAUAUAUGUCUGUUUGUAUUUGUUGGGUUUUUGUAAAGUGUACUGAAUUUGUUAAGAAUUAAUAUGUUCAAAAUUACGGUUAAUUGUUGGUACAUGUUAAAACAUGUUCAUAUUUAUGUAUUUGUUAACUGUUAAUUCACAUUAAUGUGAUGUGUGUAUUUUUUUAAUAAAAGGCUCUUAAUCUUCUUAAA
This is a non-coding RNA of Misgurnus anguillicaudatus (oriental weatherfish), 2873 nucleotides long. The record is from RefSeq and is a predicted model, not a curated record. NCBI's taxonomy places the organism in Eukaryota, Metazoa, Chordata, Actinopteri, Cypriniformes, Cobitidae.